CAACAAAUGCCAGCAGUACAAAUUCAUUAGUAUAUUAAAAGGAUAAGCCUCUAUGACCAAGUAGGAUUUCUCUUAGCAAUGCAAGGACAAUUCAACAUAUGAAAAUUAGUCAACAUCAAUGGAAUGUACUACAGCAACACAAUAAAGGAAAAAUUAACACAUGAUCAUCUCAUCUGAUGCAGAAAAAAACAUUUAACAGAAUUCAAAACCUUUCGUAAUAAAAACACUCAACAGACUAGGAAUUGGAAGAAGAAAAAAAUCUACCUCAACAUAAUCAAAGCCAUCAUGAAAAAUCAAAAGUGAACAUGACACCAAAUGAUUAAAGAUGGAAAGCUUUUUCUGUAAGGUCAGGAACAAGGAAAGUUUAUGUGCUUUUGCCAUUCUUUUCAACAUAGGAAAUUGUAGCCAGAGCAGUUAGGCAAGAAAGAAAUAAAUGGCAUCCAAUUUGUAAACGAAAAAGUUAAAUCAUCUCAGUUCACAAAUGGUGUGCUCUUACAUAUAAAAACCCUAAAGAUUUCACAAAUUCAGGAAAGUAGAACGAUACAAAGUCAAUACACAAAUGUACAUUAUUUCUGUUCACUAGUAAUGAAUAAUCCCAAAGAAAAUUGAGAAAACAAUUCUACUUAACAAUUGCACCAAAAUAAAAUACUUAGGGAUUAACCAAGAAGGUUAAAUGCUUGUACAAUGAAAGCUACAAAAUACCGAAAUGAAGUACAGACAUAAAUGGAAAAACAUCUUGACUUAAUUUUGUUGACCCCCCAAAAAAACAUUCUACAGAUUUAAUGCAAUUAUUAUAAAAUAUAAGAGAGGACUCCUAAAAUUCAGCAAAAAAACCAAAAAACAAAGAAUUGAAUUCAAAGAUGGCCAAAAUACUUGAAUAGACAUUUCUCCAAAGAUGUAUGUAUAGCCAAUACACAUAUUAAAAGAUAUUCAACAUCACUAAUCAUUAUGGAAAUAUAAAUCAAAACUAUGAUAAUAUACCACCUCACACAUUUAGAUGGCUUAUUUAAACAAAAUGACAAAUAUCACCAAGUAUAUGGAUAAAUUCAACUUUUCUCACUUGAACUUUUCUAAUUUGAACUGUUCUGAUUUGAACUAAAUUAGAACUUUUCUGCACUAUGAUGGGAAUGUAAAAUGGCACAGCCAAUGAGAAGAAUAGAAUGGCAACUCCUCAAUAAAUUAAAAAUAGAAUUACCAUAUUAUCCAGCAAGUACACUUCUGGGUUUGCACCUCAAAGAACUGAAAGCAAGAUAUUGAAGAGGUGUUUGUACACUUAUGUUCAUAGUAACAUUAUUCACAAUAGCCAAAAUGUGAAAGCAACCUAGGUAUAUAUUCACAGAUAACUCCAAAAACAAAAGGUGGUAUAUAGAUAUAAUGGAAAAUUAUUCAGACUUAGGAAAAUCUGACAAAUGCUACAACAUGGGAUCCAAGCUGUAUUUGCGACCUACACCACAGCUCACAGCAACUUCCAGAUCCUUAAUCCACUGAGCAAGGCCAGGGAUCGAACCAAUAUCCUCGUGGAUACUAGUCGGGUUCGUUAACCACUGAACCAUGACAGGAACUCCUCUAUCUAGAUUUUGAAGUCUGAAAAGCAAGUGAGGUCUAUAAGCAUUGGAAAUGUUUGAGUCUCAAGAGUAAUUUUUUUUUUUUUUUCUGGUGAAUUCACUCAUCAAAUAGUGGCUACAUAAAAUCAGUCAUGGCUCUGGAUAAGAUAUAAUAUAGAAUUGCAGUGCUAAAGAACAGAAGAAAUAGAUGAUCAAUACACUUUGAAAUGCUUCCUUUAGAAACACUGAUUUUUUUUAAUCCUAGCCAGAAAAAUAUAUAUGUAUAUAAAUCUGAAUUCCCCAGUUUGGAAAGUUCCACAGUAGCCAGGUUUCCAAAUUUUCAUUUCUUUCUGUUUAGUUCUUUAUUGUACCAGUCAAGUGUUGUCAAAUACCAGGGAUUAACUUUUGGAAAAAAAAAUUAGAAACAAAGGGAAAAUUUUUAAUUUUCCAUCCUUGAUAAUUAAAAUUUUAUAAUUUUAAACUAUAAUAAAUAGUUUAAUGAUAGCUGUACUUUAAAAAAAGGGGGCAGAGACAAAAUUAGUAGCCCCUUGCAUUCUCAGUCUAUGGCUGAAAAUUUUUAGUCAGAAGUCAAAGUCAGAUAUUUGAUCCAACAUUUUUAGAGAUGCUGAAUUCUUUAGAGAAUCCCAAAAGUGUACCAGUUUUACAUUUAUAGGCAUUGAAGAUAUUAGAGUCAUGGGAGUAUGAUCCAUUGUGAGUCUGGAAAUGUAAAUUCAGGAAUCUCUGCUUUCAAAGAUAAUUACUAGAUUCUGAAGACCUGAUAUGAUCUUGUCCAAUGAAGUUCAAGAGCAUUCUUACAUUGUUUCUGAGGUUUUCCUUUGGUAAAGCUGCCUAGUCCUGCUGAUCAUAAAUUGCUAUAUAUUGAUCAUAAAAUAAACCUUUAAAAUAUGAUAGUCAGUUAUUGGACAUGUAAUUGUUAGUCUCACCAGGUAAGAGUUAAGAAAAUGAUGACCUAUGGUUUCUAGUCAGUGAAUUUUUAAUAGUCAAGGAAAUUAAGGAUGACAUUUUAGGUCAUGGCAGUUAAUCCUUCAAAUAAUUUUCCAAGCUUUAUUUGUUCUUUUAUCUUUGACUACUGCUAGAGGAUGAUAAAGACAAUGGAGUUUCUGGAUGAUGAGAGAUACCAUGUACAGCUCUUGUAAAAUAGGCACCUCUAUCUCUGACAAAAAGUUUGGUAAUGCACCAAGUUGAAAAUACAAAGUCUAGGAGGCUGGUCGUUGCUUGUUUUUGUUUUGUUUUGUUUUCUUUUUUUUGGUUUGCUAGUUGUUAGUGUAGUUGCCAUUUGGCAAAUAAAAUCUAUGGCCAUCUAUAAAAUACAUGAGUAGAAAUAUAUUCAUUUGAAGGAGACAAUUGCAAAACUCCAUUUGUAAAUUUCAAAAUAAACCUUGAGGAUUUAGUUCUUGCUCAUUCUUGUCUUUUGCAGGUUGUACCUGAAUCAUACUAAGCAGUUUUGAGUAAAAUUUUCCUGGCUCUAUGAUUAUGAUAUGCCAACCAAUUUAUCUUUGCUGCAGUGGUCAAACUGAAUAGUUAUGUUAAUAAACUACAUUAUUAAGUAUUUUAAUAAAUUCUUAUAAUUAAGUUUACUCUGGGAGUGAGAAUAUUAUAAAUUGUAUAGACAUAGACAAGCCCCUAUAGAAUUUGAUUUACAUUAAAAAUCAAACCUAUCACCAUGAUUGUACCUAUAGUCAUGUAUACUGAAUUUUAGACAAAAAAAUCAUUUUGAUAUAGUUAUUAUGCAUGUCUUUAUGCUUAUAAAUGAGUCUAUUUUAAUCUGAGGACUUCAUCAUAUUUUGGAGGGGGAACACAAUUCAACCCAUAAGAGUCUGCUCUAUACCUUUCCCAAAAGUUAUGUCUUUCCCAUGUGCAAAAUACAUUUACUCCAUUAUGACAUCCUCAAAAGUUUUAACCCAUUUCAAUUUAACUCAAUAUACAAAAAUUUCAUCUAAAUAUAAUCAACUCAAACUCAUCUAAAUCAGAUAUGGGUGAGACACUGGGUAUGGUCCAUCUGGAUACAAAAUUUCUUGUCAUUUAUGAACUUGUGAUAUUAGAAAACAAGUUAUAUGCUUAUAAAAUACAACAUUGGCAUACUCAUUGGAUAGAUAUUUUCAUUCCAAAAGAUAGAAAUAAGAAGAAAAGGAUACUCAGAUUCCAAGCAAGUCUUAAAACCAGCAGGACUCAUUGCAAGGCUUGGGAAGAAUCCUACGUGGCUCAGUUCUCUGUCCUAUAGGCUCUUGGCCCACGAUGGUGUCAGUCUUACCCUCUUUGCCCCAGGAAGUACUAUCAGCACUGCCUCCUUCAUCAGUGGUCUGCCCUCAGGGUUUUUGUUUGUUUGUUUGUUUGUUUUGUCUUUUUAGGGCUGCACCUGCCCUGGAAGUUCCUAGGCUAGGGGUCGAAUUGGAGCUAUAGCUGCUGGCUUGUGGGCUUGCGCAGUAGCCACAGCAACACCAGAUCCUUAAUCGACUGAGCAAGGCCAGAGAAUGAACCUGCAUUCUGAUGGAUACUAGUUAGAUUCGUCAUCACUAAGCCACACGAGAACUCCCCUCAAAAUCAUUCUUUAUUCUUUUCAUCCCAUCCUGUGCUUAUCAGGCCAGUCUGGCAGUAUUCUUCUGGCACAGUUCUCAAUUACCUUGUCAGUCUCCUGUGCAAUUCUUAAGAGUUCAGAUCAUCAAACAGGAAAGUUCUUCAUAUAUCUUUCUGAUUAAUGACAUCUAUAUUCCUUAAUCCUCUGUGAGAGCUGAUUUGAUCCACAAGUCAUAUAAUCUGUCUCAUUAGCAAUGAUUGUCCAGCCACAUUCUUAGGCCUAUGUCCAGAGCAUCCUAUCUGGACAGGAUGUGAAUUUUCCAACUAUCAAGUGCUUGCUUCUUUUUUUAUGAGUAGCAAUUCAUUUCUCAACUUGUUUCUUAUCUCUUGCAAUUUUACCGUAAACAGCAAGGAGAAUCCAGGUGGUACAGAACACAAUUUUCAGGCAAGCAUCCUUGGCUAAAUAUCCAAGAUCAUCAACUAUAAGUUUUACUUUCCACAAAAUAAUGGAGCAUAAUUCAGCCAAGUUCUUUGCCACUUGGUUCUAAGAAUCACCUUUCCUCCAGUUUCCAAAAACAUAGUCCUUAUUUCCAUCUGAGACAUCACAGAAGUACCCUUACUGUCCAUAUCUCUAGUAGCACUCCAUUCGUGACAAUGUAUGUGCUUGUCUAAUAAAUGGAAACUUUGUAUGCAUUGCUCCUUACUUCUUUCUGAUUCCUCCUCAGAAUUUUCUUUGAUGGCCACAUUUCUAUCAACAAUUUCUUCAAGGAAAUCUGGCUCUUACUAUUAAAACCUGAACAACUACAUACAAUUAAUUUAUAUAAAUUUCAAAUACAGAGAAAACCAAAAUAUGUAUUAAUCUGUUAGAAAUAGUUGAUGGCGUUCCCAUCCCAUCGUGGCACAGUGGGAACAAAUCCGACUAGGAACCACGACGUUGCGGGUUUGAUCCCUGGCCUUGUUCAGUGAGUUAAGUAUCUGACCUUGCUUUGAGCUGUAGUGUAGGUCGCAGACAUGGCUCGGAUCCCGAGUUGCUGUGGCUCUGUGUAGGCCGGCAGCUACAUCUCCUAUUAGACUUCUUGCCUGGGAACCUCCAUAUGCUGCAGGUGCAGCC
RNAcentral lists this long non-coding RNA (5190 nucleotides) under Sus scrofa (pig). Its description in RNAcentral is "lncRNA (ENSSSCG00000044970.2)". Lineage: Eukaryota; Metazoa; Chordata; Mammalia; Artiodactyla; Suidae. The record is from RNAcentral.